GCAAGUCGAACGGAGUAGCAAUACUUAGUGGCAGACGGGUGAGUAACAUGUGGGUAUCUUCCCUUUGGUGAGGAAUAACACGAGGAAACUUGUGCUAAUACCUCAUAAGUCUUCACGGAGAAAGCUUUAUGCGCCAAUGGAUGAGCCCGCACUUGAUUAGUUUGUUGGUGGGGUAAUGGCCUACCAAGACUGUGAUCAAUAGCUGAUCUGAGAGGAUGAUCAGCCACAUUGGGACUGAGACACGGCCCAAACUCCUACGGGAGGCAGCAGUAGGGAAUAUUGCACAAUGGAGGAAACUCUGAUGCAGCGAUGCCGCGUGAGUGAAGAAGGCCCUUGGGUUGUAAAGCUCUUUCGUCGGGGAAGAAAAUGACUGUACCCGAAUAAGAAGGUCCGGCUAACUUCGUGCCAGCAGCCGCGGUAAUACGAAGGGACCUAGCGUAGUUCGGAAUUACUGGGCUUAAAGAGUUCGUAGGUAGUUAAAAAAGUUGGUGGUGAAAUCCCAGAGCUUAACUCUGGAACUGCCAUCAAAACUUUUUAGCUAGAGUAUGAUAGAGGAAAGCAGAAUUUCUAGUGUAGAGGUGAAAUUCGUAGAUAUUAGAAAGAAUACCAAUUGCGAAGGCAGCUUUCUGGAUCAUUACUGACACUGAGGAACGAAAGCAUGGGUAGCGAAGAGGAUUAGAUACCCUCGUAGUCCAUGCCGUAAACGAUGUGUGUUAGACGUUGGAAAUUUAUUUUCAGUGUCGCAGCAAAAGCAGUAAACACACCGCCUGGGGAGUACGACCGCAAGGUUAAAACUCAAAUGAAUUGACGGGGACCCGCACAAGUAGUGGAGCAUGUGGUUUAAUUCGAAGAUACGCGCAGAACCUCACCAACACUUGACAUGUUCGUCGCAACUUU
RNAcentral lists this ribosomal RNA (897 nucleotides) under uncultured marine bacterium. Its description in RNAcentral is "bacterial SSU rRNA". It matches the Rfam family "Bacterial small subunit ribosomal RNA", at positions 57 to 1002 of the family's 1533-position model. The record is from RNAcentral.